UGCAGAAUCCCGUGAAUCAUCGAGUCUUUGAACGCAAGUUGCGCCCGAAGCCUUCGGGCCAAGGGCACGUCUGCCUGGGCGUCAUAA
RNAcentral lists this ribosomal RNA (87 nucleotides) under Apinagia surumuensis. Its description in RNAcentral is "partial 5.8S ribosomal RNA". It matches the Rfam family "5.8S ribosomal RNA", at positions 73 to 154 of the family's 154-position model. From Rfam's summary of the family: 5.8S ribosomal RNA (5.8S rRNA) is a component of the large subunit of the eukaryotic ribosome. It is transcribed by RNA polymerase I as part of the 45S precursor that also contains 18S and 28S rRNA. Lineage: Eukaryota; Viridiplantae; Streptophyta; Magnoliopsida; Malpighiales; Podostemaceae. The record is from RNAcentral.